Aethalodelphis obliquidens (Pacific white-sided dolphin) is the source of this 344-nucleotide long non-coding RNA. RefSeq lists it as uncharacterized. The record is from RefSeq and is a predicted model, not a curated record. The transcript has 3 exons. NCBI's taxonomy places the organism in Eukaryota, Metazoa, Chordata, Mammalia, Artiodactyla, Delphinidae.
GUGAUCCAGCGGACUGAAAAACAACAUGCCGUACUCCAAAGAGAAGAAGGAAACCCAACUACUAGCGUGCCUUCCCCUUUCAUGAAAAAAUCCACAAGAUGCUGGAAGCAAAGCAGCCAUCCUGGGACCCCAAGGGUGACAAGAACAUGCUAAAGAUGAUUGGGUGGAAAGAGACAAGGAAGCCAUUUCUCCACUGGCAUCAUGGAGCCACUGUACCCAUCCUGGAUUUCUGACGUCUGGACUCUUAUUGGGUAGUGCUGUCCUCAGUCUCUUGGGACAUACUUCUUUCCGGAUCUGGCACAAACUACCCCUCAGGGCUUAAAGACAUGCAGAUGACAGAUGAU